RNAcentral lists this small nuclear RNA (20 nucleotides) under Arabidopsis thaliana (thale cress). Its description in RNAcentral is "snRNA_06802". The record is from RNAcentral. Lineage: Eukaryota; Viridiplantae; Streptophyta; Magnoliopsida; Brassicales; Brassicaceae.
GCUGCCACGAUCCACUGAGA